RNAcentral lists this ribosomal RNA (435 nucleotides) under Myotis brandtii (Brandt's bat). Its description in RNAcentral is "partial 12S ribosomal RNA". It matches the Rfam family "Bacterial small subunit ribosomal RNA", at positions 770 to 1400 of the family's 1533-position model. Lineage: Eukaryota; Metazoa; Chordata; Mammalia; Chiroptera; Vespertilionidae. The record is from RNAcentral.
AACUGGGAUUAGAUACCCCACUAUGCUUAGCCCUAAACAUAAAAAAUUAUAAACAAAAUUAUUCGCCAGAGUACUACUAGCAAUAGCUUAAAACUCAAAGGACUUGGCGGUGCCUUAUAUCCUUCUAGAGGAGCCUGUUCUAUAAUCGAUAAACCCCGAUCUACCUCACCAAUCUUUGCUAAAUCAGCCUAUAUACCGCCAUCUUCAGCAAACCCUAAAAAGGAAACAAAGUAAGCACAAGUAUAAACAUAAAAACGUUAGGUCAAGGUGUAGCUUAUAGAGUGGAAAGAAAUGGGCUACAUUCCCCGAACCGGGGAACUAAAAUUUAUACGAAAACCUAUGUGAAACCAAAAGUUAAAGGUGGAUUUAGCAGUAAACUAAGAAUAGAGUGCUUAGUUGAAUAUGGCCAUAAGGCACGCACACACCGCCCGUCAC